This 2197-nucleotide long non-coding RNA is filed under the name Homo sapiens (human). RNAcentral's name for it is "HSALNT0097224". The record is from RNAcentral. Lineage: Eukaryota; Metazoa; Chordata; Mammalia; Primates; Hominidae.
CUGGUUGAAAGAAUGAUAAAAUCACUGUUUAAUCCUCUGUAAAGUUUUGAUUAAUGGAUAAAGGAUUUAUGAGGCUAGUUGUAAGCUGCAGCCAAUCUGGUGUGCUUUGUUUGUCUUUCUGUUUGGUUCUGUUAUGAAGAGGAGUACCUUAGGAUGGACUGUGGGCCUAGUACUCUAUAAACCCACUGUUCAAGCCAGCCCAGCAAACUGGACACAAUUUGAGAAACUGGUUGUUUUGCCAAGGCUUUGACUGGAAGGACGUGCUUCUCUUUAAGGAAUCAAGCUUGACUUGCAGAGCCAAUAAAAGCCCCUUGGGAAAACUGGCCUCAUACCUUGUCUACACAGUUCGUGUACAGGGUUCUUAACCUGUGGUGAGUAGAGAAUGUCACUUUCUAGCGAGCCCAGGAGCCCCAUGUUUUUCGGACCUCAAAAAGGAAUUUAUCCAACUCAUAGGUAUUUGAGGGUACAAACCCAUUGCUGGGCUCAGCUUUAAAAAGUCUUAUCUGAGAUUCUUUGUGGACCAGAGUUCCAUCAAAGCCAAUUUAAAAGCCUAUGUGAAAAAUAAUUAUUCUUGCUGCACUUUAUGCAAAUAAUUAGACCACAUAUAACACUAAAGUUUAUUUUGCAAAUAACUCAAGUCCUACCAUAAUUUGUUUCUGACAAAAAUGAGGACUAGAGAGAGAAAAAUUAUGUUUCAAAACUUAUCAUACACUUAUUAAAUUCUAAUCUCAUCAGUUGUUUGUAAGUUUUUGCCUACAUUUUAGACUAACCCUGCUUGUACCUGUGAACCAACCAGCGAUCUCUGGCUGAAGCUCAGAAGAAACAAAUGGUAUGGGUAAUGUAAAAAUCUAGAUCAAUAUUUUAAUUCUGAGUGAUUAUCCUGCAAAUCCUGCCAGGUGAUGGGAGUGAAUGAGGAGCCUAUAACCUGGAGGUUUCUUUGUUUGGGAAAAUAAGACCAAGGGAGCUAACCAAAGCCAAGCCCCAUGCACCCAAAUCUUAGCAGGCAUAACUAUAGCCACCAGCUAUCUGGGUAUGCUGGCAGCCUUGGGAUUUUUGAGCUGUCCUUACCGCCUUCAGUUUGAUAUAUAUUUUCUAAUAACUCAAAUUGUUUAUUCUUGCUUAGAGUACUAAACUUCAAAUGGUGAGGCAAAUGGAACUGUGCAUGGAUGUGCCAUUCUUCCAGGUACUCUUUUUUUUUUUGAGACGGAGUCUCGCUCUGUUGCCCAGGCUGGAGGGCAGUGGCGUGAUCUCGGCUCACUGCAAGCUCCGCCUCCCAGGUUCACGCCAUUCUCCUGCCUCAGCCUCCCGAGUAGCUGGACUACAGGCGCCCGCCACCACGCCCGGCUAAUUUUUUGUAUUUUUAGUAGAGACGAGGUUUCACCGUGUUGGCUAGGAUGGUCUCGAUCUCCUCACCUCGUGAUCCGCCUGCCUCGGCCUCCCAAAGUGCUGGGAUUACAGGCGUGAGCCACCGUGCCCGGCCUCUUCCAGGUACUCUUAAAGCAACCUCAGGAGGAGCUCUAAUGGCUUUCUCCAAACAGCGCCCCCUGUCAGCAGGACACAGUUAAGAGUGGACAUCGUUCACUUUCCCCAACAGCAGUUGGGGUCUUCACUCCUGAAUGGGGGAAGGAAAGGAGUUAGCCAGCUUCCUUUAGACAGAAAGUAAGAGAAGGGUCCUCAAGGAACCUCCGACCUGCCCCACAAGUGUUUACACCAGAUGUUUUGUGCAGAUAAGGGAACUUGCACAGGGGGCUUGUUUAAACAUGCCCUCAGUGGAAAAUUCUGUUCCUUAACACAUACAUACACAGUUAGAGAAAUAAAUCAAUAUGGAGUGGCUCAGUCUAAGGGCUCACAUGUGCACUGGAAGGAUGGGGUGGAGCUGCCAGGAAUUCACUCACACCUUAAGCCCUAGCCCUGGUAUUCAACUGUGAAGGGGACAACUGGAAACCUGCUUUCAGGACCUCUCCCUUUGCUGAGAGCUUUCCUUUCGCUUAAUAAAUUCUACUCCAUUCACUCUUUGGUGUCCAUGUGCCUAAUUCUUCCCGGUCUUGAGGCAAUAACCUGGACCUAGCUGAGAUAAGGAGCAAAAAUCCUGCAACACUAUGACAUACAGAGGUAUCAAACUUGCACCUGUACCCUCUGAAUCUUAAAUAAAAGUUUAAAAAAUUUAAAAAUAAUAAAUUAAGUAAUUAAAUAUGCA